AAGGGCACCACAAGAACGCGUGGAGCAUGUGGCUUAAUUUGACUCAACGCGGGAAAACUUACCGGGUCCGGACACACUGAGGAUUGACAGGCGAUAAAUUAUGCUAGUCCUUUCAUGAUUGUGUGAUAGGUGGUGCAUGGCCGUUCUUAGUUCGUGGAGUGAUCUGUCUGCUUAAUUGCGUUUCAGCAUAUUAUGCAACGAUAUGUUGCGUGGUGUGUUGUCUACGGGCACGCAUCGCGCGCAUGCGAUUGCUAUGAAGGCAACGAACGUGACCGCAACCCUUUGUUGCAUCCGUCGGUCGGCGCUUGCGUCGUCUAUUAAGGAUUUGCCAACUAAGGGGACCGCCAGGGUUGUUUAACCGGAGGAAGGUUGCGGCAAUAACAGGUCUGUGAUGCCCUUAGAUGUUCCGGGCUGCACACGUGCUACAAUGAUUGUUACACAAAGUAUCUAACUUAUAGCUUCACGCUUCGGCGUAAGCCAUGACGCGAUCAUCGCUUCGCGCGGAGUGUUUACGCUCGUGCGCGUAUGCGAUUGACUUCGCUCAUGAAACCUACCUCGAAAGUACGGUAGGCAAUCAAUUCCAAGUGACAAUCUCCCGCGCACAAAUCAAAUGGGUAAUUUACGUGCGUCGUUCGCGGCGCGCGUGAUUGCACAUGUGCUCUAUUAAUUCGUGGUCGGGACAGACCAUUGCUAAUUGUUGGUCUCGGUCUCAACUAGGAAUGCCUUGUACGGGUCUUUGGUUCAACAAACCACCCGGAAUACGUCCCUGCCCUUUGUACACACCGCCCGUC
RNAcentral lists this ribosomal RNA (791 nucleotides) under Foraminifera environmental sample. RNAcentral's name for it is "SSU rRNA". It matches the Rfam family "Eukaryotic small subunit ribosomal RNA", at positions 1160 to 1677 of the family's 1831-position model. Lineage: Eukaryota; Foraminifera. The record is from RNAcentral.